This 61-nucleotide non-coding RNA is filed under the name bovine gut metagenome. RNAcentral's name for it is "pemK RNA". It matches the Rfam family "pemK RNA". The record is from RNAcentral.
ACAAUGAGACUUCCGUCUUUUGACGGCUCGGUGAGAACCACGGAGGGGUCAGAUUCCCAUG